Molecule: transfer RNA, 55 nt
Organism: Loxodonta africana (African savanna elephant)
Lineage: Eukaryota; Metazoa; Chordata; Mammalia; Proboscidea; Elephantidae
Rfam family: tRNA
About the family: Transfer RNA (tRNA) molecules are approximately 80 nucleotides in length. Their secondary structure includes four short double-helical elements and three loops (D, anti-codon, and T loops). Further hydrogen bonds mediate the characteristic L-shaped molecular structure. tRNAs have two regions of fundamental functional importance: the anti-codon, which is responsible for specific mRNA codon recognition, and the 3' end, to which the tRNAs corresponding amino acid is attached (by aminoacyl-tRNA synthetases). tRNAs cope with the degeneracy of the genetic code in two manners: having more than one tRNA (with a specific anti-codon) for a particular amino acid; and 'wobble' base-pairing, i.e. permitting non-standard base-pairing at the 3rd anti-codon position.
Source: Rfam
GCAAACUUUUAAUGCACUUGGCUGCUAACCAAGAGACUGGAGGUUCAAGUCCACC